This is a long non-coding RNA of Halichondria panicea, 1463 nucleotides long. RefSeq lists it as uncharacterized. The record is from RefSeq and is a predicted model, not a curated record. The transcript is spliced from 3 exons. Lineage: Eukaryota; Metazoa; Porifera; Demospongiae; Suberitida; Halichondriidae.
CCACUACUAUCAUUUAUAGUGUCUCUCGAUUGUUUUGUGUGCAGCUAUGGAGACAUCAACGGCUGGCUUCUAUGGUGUGUAGGUGGAUGUCUCUUCACAGCAAAAGAUAAGUAGCUCCAUUGUGUACAGUGUCUCUCAUGCUCUCUGUGUAGGUUGAUUUGUGUGUGGAGAAGCCACUGUAACAGCAUACACACAGAUGAGUAGCUAGCUAUGUUGUGUGACAAGUCUCUCAUGCUCUCUGUGUAGGUUGAUGGUUGUGGAGGAGCCACUGUAACAGCAUACAUACAGAUGAGUAGCAAGUCUUUUAUCUCCCUACGUAGGGUGAUGGUCUGGCACUACCUAACACUGAAUGGCUGCAAUUUACAGAUGAGUAGCUAUAGCUAUGUUGUGUAGAAAGUCUUUUAUCUCCCUACGUAGGUUAAUGGUUGUGUAUAUAUGGAUGGACAAGGCGAUGGUUUGAUGGUCUGGCACUACCUAACACUGAAUGACUGCUGUACUUGUUCCUUGGUCUAUAAUUUAUAAUUAAUAUGAAACAAGGAUUGCUGUCUGUUGACGGGGGCUCCAUUUCUACAUGUUCCUCAUCAUUCAAGAUGUCUUGUAGAACCUCCUCCGUGGUCCAGUGUGGCCUCUUGGACAUGCCUGCAGCUCUAUAUUAUUAUUAAAAAAUGUUUGUUCAUGUUAUAAAUAUUUUGUGUUUGUUGGGUGGUAUAAAAACAACAGUAGUAUUCAAGCGUCUGUAUCAAAAAAAUUUCUGUAUGAUAAUUAUAAGCUUUUUACUUUAUAUAUGGGUACCUUGACAAUGGAUAGAAUUAGAAGGGGUCCUAGAUUCAGUCCAGCAGCAGCCCCACCCAGAUUCUUUAGCAGCCAAGAGAAGCAGGGCUGCUGCAGCUGACACCUAUAUUGGUAGAGAUGUCAGACUGAAAGUAGUGAGUGGGAGUAUUUUCUUACAGUAAAUUCAAUGGUAAGAAACAGGACCAGACAGUGAGUGAACAAGAAGGGCUUUCCACAGCAAGCCCUGGAAGAGUCUAGCAAACAACAGCUGUUCCCAGGGGUAAAAAUAGUGCAGAAUUUAAUUUUUAGAACAGUUUUUUAUGAUUUUAGCAUUUGGUGUUUGUUUUGUGUGUGAUUUUUUCUCAAAGGUGAUCAUCAUUUUGGCAACCAAAUAUUGUGCAAGGAAACUAAACCUUCUGUGGAUGAUUUGAUUGGUUGUUGUGGUUGGGAAAUUUUGUUGCACAGUCUGGCUUGGUGAUGAUGUGUGAUUUGAUUAUAAUGAUUUGUCUGGUCAGGAGUGCAUUCAUUCCUGGUCUGGUAUUAUGAUGAUAAUAAUGAUCUGAAUUAAUUGGUGGUCUUCACUGUUGAAUUGAUUUGUUGUUGUGGGAAUUUCUCAUCUCUUCUCUGCACAACACAAACAGCUAUGGGUGUAAUUAAAUUUUUGUUGUCUGGUGUUAUAAUUAUGUAUUAUU